AGAUGCGAUGCUCCAGCUUAGGUGGCAAUCUUGCAUCCAUCCGAGACUUCAGUGACGUUCAGGAUGUGAGUUGGUUGACUAACAAUUGGCGUGGGUUCUGGAUCGGUGGCCACCACGAAUGGUUAUUUAGAUGGACUUGGACUGAUGGCUCCCUUUUUGGCUUUCAACAUUGGUACAAAAGACAUCCACUAUUCCGCCGUGGCGAUUGCAUUGCGGUGAAUGGUUUGGGUUCCUGGCAGGCUGAGAGCUGCAAUCUCCUUCUCCCUUAUGUCUGUGCUAUGUAGGCUACUAAACAGUGCUGGGCAACUUGGGAUUCAUUAGUUUUACAAUCCAGAUGACCUGGUUUUACCUGUGCUAUUCAACCAGGUAAUCAUUUUGAAUGUGUGCCACUGGAUUGUAACUAUGACCAUCUGCAUUAAAAUCACUGCGGAUAAGAGGACCUGCUUUUGUAAUGUUCCCUUUCAUAAUCCAUCCAGCGCUCAUGUAUAAUAAAAAUCCUCAACCAAAAACA
Engraulis encrasicolus (European anchovy) is the source of this 511-nucleotide long non-coding RNA. RefSeq lists it as uncharacterized. The record is from RefSeq and is a predicted model, not a curated record. NCBI's taxonomy places the organism in Eukaryota, Metazoa, Chordata, Actinopteri, Clupeiformes, Engraulidae. The transcript is spliced from 3 exons.